CUCUAGCCCGGAUAAUAGUGGAAAUCCUUUUUUGUUAGUAUAAAAACCCAUCGACUGCGAUCAGGGUGACACAAAAAAGAUUGCAACGGAUAGCCGGAUUAGCU
Molecule: non-coding RNA, 104 nt
Filed under: unclassified sequences
Also listed under: 1 other name
Description: Flavo-1 RNA
Rfam family: Flavo-1 RNA
Source: RNAcentral